GACGAACGCUGGCGGCGUGCUUAACACAUGCAAGUCGAGCGGUAAGGCCCUUUCGGGGGUACACGAGCGGCGAACGGGUGAGUAACACGUGGGUGACCUGCCUUUAGCUCUGGGAUAAGCCUGGGAAACUGGGGUCUAAUACCGGAUACGACUCCGCGGUGCAUGCUGUGGGGUGGAAAGCCUUGUGCGGCUGGAGAUGGGCCCGCGGCCUAUCAGCUUGUUGGUGGGGUGAUGGCCUACCAAGGCGACGACGGGUAGCCGGCCUGAGAGGGCGACCGGCCACACUGGGACUGAGACACGGCCCAGACUCCUACGGGAGGCAGCAGUGGGGAAUCUUGCGCAAUGGGCGAAAGCCUGACGCAGCGACGCCGCGUGAGGGAUGACGGCCUU
Molecule: ribosomal RNA, 390 nt
Filed under: uncultured bacterium
Lineage: Bacteria
Description: bacterial SSU rRNA
Rfam family: Bacterial small subunit ribosomal RNA
Source: RNAcentral